CCUACGGGAGGCAGCAGUGGGGAAUAUUGCGCAAUGGGCGAAAGCCUGACGCAGCGACGCCGCGUGAGGGAAGAAGGCUUUCGGGUUGUAAACUUCUUUUAAGGGGGAAGAGCAGAAGACGGUACCCCUUGAAUAAGCCACGGCUAACUACGUGCCAGCAGCCGCGGUAAUACGUAGGUGGCAAGCGUUGUCCGGAUUUACUGGGUGUAAAGGGCGUGCAGCCGGAGAGACAAGUCAGAUGUGAAAUCCACGGGCUCAACCCGUGAACUGCAUUUGAAACUGUUUCCCUUGAGUGUCGGAGAGGUAAUCGGAAUUCCUUGUGUAGCGGUGAAAUGCGUAGAUAUAAGGAAGAACACCAGUGGCGAAGGCGGAUUACUGGACGAUAACUGACGGUGAGGCGCGAAAGCGUGGGGAGCAAACAGGAUUAGAUACCCGAGUAGUC
Molecule: ribosomal RNA, 442 nt
Filed under: uncultured bacterium
Lineage: Bacteria
Description: partial 16S ribosomal RNA
Rfam family: Bacterial small subunit ribosomal RNA
Source: RNAcentral